RNAcentral lists this microRNA precursor (86 nucleotides) under Bigelowiella natans CCMP2755. RNAcentral describes it as "miRNA EPrBNAG00000013509". Lineage: Eukaryota; Cercozoa; Chlorarachniophyceae. The record is from RNAcentral.
AAAUGUAUGAUGAUGAUGAUGAUGAUGAUGCAGCUGCUGCUGCUGCUAACGUCAUUUUAUUAUUAUCAUCAUCAUCAUCAUCCACG